RNAcentral lists this transfer RNA (83 nucleotides) under Anaerolineales bacterium. Its description in RNAcentral is "tRNA-Leu". It matches the Rfam family "tRNA". Rfam says of the family: Transfer RNA (tRNA) molecules are approximately 80 nucleotides in length. Their secondary structure includes four short double-helical elements and three loops (D, anti-codon, and T loops). Lineage: Bacteria; Bacillati; Chloroflexota; Anaerolineae; Anaerolineales. The record is from RNAcentral.
GGGGUGGUGGCGAAAUGGCAGACGCAGGGGACUUAAAAUCCCCCGGGGGAAACUCCGUGUGGGUUCGAAUCCCACCCGCCCUA